Molecule: ribosomal RNA, 433 nt
Filed under: uncultured bacterium
Lineage: Bacteria
Description: partial 16S ribosomal RNA
Rfam family: Bacterial small subunit ribosomal RNA
Source: RNAcentral
AACGAACGCUGGCGGCAUGCCUAACACAUGCAAGUCGAACGAGACCUUCGGGUCUAGUGGCGCACGGGUGCGUAACGCGUGGGAACCUGCCCUUAGGUUCGGAAUAACUCCCCGAAAGGGGUGCUAAUACCGGUUAAUGUCUUCGGACCAAAGAUGUUUCGCCUUUGGAUGGGCCCUGGUUGGAUUAGCUAGUUGGUAGGGUAAAAGCCUACCAAGGCGACGAUCCAUAGCUGGUCGGUGAGGAUGCUCAGCCGCACUGGGACUGAGACACGGCCCAGACUCGUACGCGAGGCAGCAGUAGGGAAUAUUGGGCAAGGGGCGCUAGCCUGAUCCCGCCACGCCGCGUAAGUGAUGCAGGGGUUAGGGUUGUAAAGCUCUUUUACCCGGGAUGAUAGUGACGGUACCGGGAGAAUAAGCUCCGGCUAACUCCGUG